GCCCCUAUAGCUCAGCUGGUAGAGCGGCCGAUUUUUAAUCGGCGGGUUACUGGUUCGAAUCCAGUUAGGGGCA
Molecule: transfer RNA, 73 nt
Filed under: Corynebacterium diphtheriae
Lineage: Bacteria; Bacillati; Actinomycetota; Actinomycetes; Mycobacteriales; Corynebacteriaceae
Also listed under: 1 other name
Description: tRNA-Lys
Rfam family: tRNA
About the family: Transfer RNA (tRNA) molecules are approximately 80 nucleotides in length. Their secondary structure includes four short double-helical elements and three loops (D, anti-codon, and T loops).
Source: RNAcentral